UACAGAGGGUGCAAGCGUUUAAUCGGAAUUACUGGGCGUAAAGCGCGCGUAGGUGGUUUGUUAAGUUGGAUGUGAAAUCCCCCGGGCUCAACCUGGGAACUGCAUUCAAAACUGACAAGCUAGAGUAUGGUAGAGGGUGGUGGAAUUUCCUGUGUAGCGGUGAAAUGCGUAGAUAUAGGAAGGAACACCAGUGGCGAAGGCGACCACCUGGACUGAUACUGACACUGAGGUGCGAAAGCGUGGGGAGCAACAGGAU
Molecule: ribosomal RNA, 256 nt
Filed under: uncultured bacterium
Lineage: Bacteria
Description: partial 16S ribosomal RNA
Rfam family: Bacterial small subunit ribosomal RNA
Source: RNAcentral